AAAAGGGCUUUAUUUAAAGCCCCAAAAAAACAAAAAAAACUUUAAG
Capsella rubella is the source of this 46-nucleotide non-coding RNA. The record is from Rfam. NCBI's taxonomy places the organism in Eukaryota, Viridiplantae, Streptophyta, Magnoliopsida, Brassicales, Brassicaceae.